AUACGUAGGGAGCAAGCGUUAUCCGGAUUUACUGGGUGUAAAGGGCGCGUAGGCGGGAGUACAAGUCAGGUGUGAAAUCUGGGGGCUCAACCCCCAAACUGCAUUUGAAACUGUAUUUCUUGAGUGAUGGAGAGGCAAGUGGAAUUCCUAGUGUAGCGGUGAAAUGCGUAGAUAUUAGGAGGAACACCAGUGGCGAAGGCGACUUGCUGGACAUUAACUGACGCUGAGGCGCGAAAGCGUGGGGAGC
This 247-nucleotide ribosomal RNA is filed under the name uncultured bacterium. RNAcentral describes it as "partial 16S ribosomal RNA". It matches the Rfam family "Bacterial small subunit ribosomal RNA", at positions 523 to 769 of the family's 1533-position model. The record is from RNAcentral.